Long non-coding RNA from Erigeron canadensis, 1427 nucleotides. RefSeq lists it as uncharacterized. The record is from RefSeq and is a predicted model, not a curated record. NCBI's taxonomy places the organism in Eukaryota, Viridiplantae, Streptophyta, Magnoliopsida, Asterales, Asteraceae. The transcript is spliced from 5 exons.
GUCAGUAUACUCAUAGAUGAAAAUCUAAUGACCUUUCAUGUAAGUAUGGUUUGUGAUGAAAUUCUAUUAAGGCCCUCUAUGUGAGUAUGUUUCCCGAUGAAAUUUUAAGGACCCUUUACAUGACAGUAUGCUUGAUUUACAAGACCUUUCCGAUGUAAUCUAAGGGGACCCUCUAUGUCAGUAUACUUUCGAUGUAAACUUUGGACCAUUUAUGUCAGUUUGCUUUCCGAUAUAAUCUACAGACCCUUCCUGUUAGUAUGCUCCCGAAUUCUUAUAUGGACCCGUUCCGUCAGUAUACUUUCAAGAAUUAUGGAUGGUCUUUACACACUAUUCAGUAAUCACAUUGAUGAUCUACCUUAUAUUGUUCGAUUGAUGGUUUAAUAUCUUUGUCAAAGCUCUGCUAUAGAAAAUUCCACAUUUCCACCUGAAAAUGAUAAGCUCUUUCAGCAAUGCUAGGAUGUAACUCGUUGUCCCUCUUUGCUGUAUGCUUGAAAGUGGAAGACUUUCAGUCGUUCCGAGAGGUUCUUUUGUAGUAUUUUCUGCGCCUACAAGUACAGCUGUCAGCAAUUCAUGUUUUCUGAGAGAUCCUUCUGAAGUAGUUUCUACUCCUACAAGUGUAGGUAAAACUUUGUAUACUGAAGCUGCAACUGUUGCUACUGUUUCUAGAGGAAGGAGAUUGUUCCAUACCAAUCUUCUCAAUGCAUUGGCUAUUCAAAAAUUCUGAGAGUUUUGUGAUGCACUGAUGCUUUUGGAGAAGACAAUGUUGGUCUCACCCGAGAUUCUGCUGUCCACAGAGAUGCUCAGGUUCUAAUUAUGACCACUGAGAUUCUAUGAAACAUGUUAUAUCAGAGCUGUGUACGGAAUUCAUAGUAAAACAGAGCCGGUAACAUUGACAAAACGUCCAGUUCGUUUGACAUAGCAUCUUUCUACCACAAGUCCACAACAACUUUGCUUCCCCUACUCAAUGAGACAGGAACCAGCUUAAAUAGGUUACACUGCAACCCAAGCAACAUUUUUUCAACAAUGCAUGCUCUACUUUCAAUGUUCCUCAAGUUAUAGAUACAGUAUGGCACCUUAAGACAAGGGACCAUCUGCCUGCAGUUUGGUUCAUCUUUAGCAGAAAGAGAUGUUAUGCGGAAGUUCAGUUCUCACCACGUUGUAAUGACCUACUUGUUACAAUAUGAGCUGGAAAUCGAAUCAUUGAUUUACCAUAUCUUGUCAAAUCAAUGAUGGUGGUAGUUGUGUCAAAGUUCUUUUUUUGAGAACUUGAGGUUGGAAUGUCUUUGCGAGAUCAUGAUGGUCUGUCUUCACAUUAUGUGAGCAUAUUCUUGACCUUUUGGAUGUAUAAUAUUUGAAUAGUUGGAAUUGCUGUAUUGGAUUAUUCAUGACAGAUGUUUUUGGCUGAAGUAAUGAAAUCAGUUUUAUUA